AUCUUUGGCCAAUCCAAGGUGUGACCAGAGUCCCAAAGUUGACGACCUGUUCUGGAUGCCUGUGGCAAGAGCCCCUCUGUUGGAUUCCCUUUAAGUAGCACUUUGGGCUAUCUGGGUUGUUUGGUGGGAUGACCCAGACCUUCAUCCCCAAGGUGAUGGUCGUGGUGGUUUCCCUUGCUCAUUGAAAGUCAUUGCCGCUAAGUCACUGCUAAGAGAUACCAGUUCCUUCACCUAGGCUGUAGACACAUCCUACCGUACUCGAUUAUCUACUAGCAACCUUCAUCCCUGAUGUUUGUCAGUUACUAUCCCAAUCAUCAGAACCAAUCCUUUCUUUGCCUGUUGGGCCAAGACAUUAGAGAGUCAGGUGGUAAUCACAGAUUCCCCUUAAAGGUGUUCUUGCUGUGACCCUGAAAGAACUGUCUCCACUCCCGUCUCCCGGAGCUGGGACUUACCUACAAUCCCUGAGAGUGCCAGGAUGCAUGAAUGAGAAACAACAAAAUAUGCAGGGUUGCUGGCUGUCGUAAUUGGGGCCACUCCUACACCUGUUGGUCUUCAGACUCCUAUACUGUAGCAGUAGUGGCACUGUUCAUCAUUGGUAAUCGGUUCAGAAUGUGUGCCACAUCCUGGAUUGGAUGAUGGUAUCCAGGCCACAUUCAGUGUUGACCGCCUGGCCGGCACCUUAGUAACCGUUGGUAGGCCAUGUCACCAUCAUAUCAGGCCAGUUAAUCCUGGAUGAUGGGAUGGGACAAGACCAGUGCAUUCCAUAGUCAUGAGCUCAUGGUCACACCUCCUCUGGUGGAAAAGGAGUCCUUCGCUCUGAGGCAGUGCUGUGGGAUAUCACAGGUAAGGCAUUCUGUGAGUCUUUGGGGAUGGUGCUGGCAGAACCAUAGGCAGGGGCCGUAAGGACAAAAUACUGCCCCAUGAUUAAUGGUGCCGAGUUGAUAGCAUCAGUCUGCUGUCCACUGGACAGGCCUUCAGCUAUGGUGGUAACAUGAGUCUUGGUAUAGGAAGUCCUUGCCAUUGAGCCUAUGCUUAGCUGUCAUCCCGGACACUGUUCCCAGGCCUCUGCACAAGGACCGGAUGUGUGAGAAGAGUCUGCCUGGCAGCCAGAGGACGGUCAUCCUGUUGCCAUAUUACUGAGAGCCUUCCCUGUAGUACGUGGUCUCUGGUGGGCUUUCAGUGUCUUUCAGGGACAUCCCAAGUGGUGCUGUAAUGAGGCAGCAGUGGCCCCACAGGCCAUUUCCGCCAACACCCGCACAACAAGCCAACCCGGUUGUGAUUCACUCUGAGUCCUUUGCUCAUGCUGGUUAUUGAUAGGAGCCCCCCAAGAAGCAUGGGAACUAUCAGGAGAGCCAGCACAGGCUCUGCUGGUACCUGAUUCUCGAUACCAACCUAGAGGCAAUGAGAAGUGAGGGGAAGGUCCUGAGGAGGACAAACAUCAUCGUUCAAGGCAUCCACCUCAGUAGGUGAAUGGAUAAACUGUGGAGCACCCAGUGGGAUACUGUUUGGCGAUAAAGGGACUGAGCUACUGAUUCACACAGCAACAUGAAGAAAUCUGAAAUACAGUUUGCUGCUCUCUUCAAUAAAUGGUGUU
Molecule: long non-coding RNA, 1594 nt
Organism: Lontra canadensis (Northern American river otter)
Lineage: Eukaryota; Metazoa; Chordata; Mammalia; Carnivora; Mustelidae
Exons: 6
Source: RefSeq, a predicted model, not a curated record